UCCUAGGCGUAGCGAGGAGGACGUGGACCAGCGAGGGUGUUCUGCUGCGUUGACGUGGUGCUCUGCUUGGCUGUGUGUCGGUGCGGCGUGUCCCCCUGCAGAGGGGUGCUGCGCGUCCGCCGUUGAAGUAGGGGAACU
This 138-nucleotide unclassified non-coding RNA is filed under the name Crithidia fasciculata. RNAcentral's name for it is "partial 7SL RNA". The record is from RNAcentral. Lineage: Eukaryota; Euglenozoa; Kinetoplastea; Trypanosomatida; Trypanosomatidae.